Molecule: ribosomal RNA, 492 nt
Filed under: uncultured bacterium
Lineage: Bacteria
Description: partial 16S ribosomal RNA
Rfam family: Bacterial small subunit ribosomal RNA
Source: RNAcentral
AGUGAACGCUGGCGGUAGGCCUAACACAUGCAAGUCGAACGGCAGCACAGUAAGAGCUUGCUCGUACGGGUGGCGAGUGGCGGACGGGUGAGGAAUACAUCGGAAUCUACUUUUUCGUGGGGGAUAACGUAGGGAAACUUACGCUAAUACCGCAUACGACCUACGGGUGAAAGCAGGGGAUCUUCGGACCUUGCGCGAUUGAAUGAGCCGAUGUCGGAUUAGCUAGUUGGUGGGGUAAAGGCCCACCAAGGCGACGAUCCGUAGCUGGUCUGAGAGGAUGAUCAGCCACACUGGAACUGAGACACGGUCCAGACUCCUACGGGAGGCAGCAGUGGGGAAUAUUGGACAAUGGGCGCAAGCCUGAUCCAGCCAUACCGCGUGGGUGAAGAAGGCCUUCGGGUUGUAAAGCCCUUUUGUUGGGAAAGAAAAGCAGCAGGUUAAUACCCCGCUGUUCUGACGGUACCCAAAGAAUAAGCACCGGCUAACUUCGUG